AGGAAGAUCUACAUGAUGCCCAGUGCCUGAAUAAAACACUUAAAUUAGAACAUAAAUCUAUGUUUAAAAAGUGUGAACAACUACUGGAAGAAAAACAACACUGGGCUGGGAAAAGGGAUGAGAUGGUGGCAAACUUGAAUUUCUGGAAAAUAAUCGGAUGGCAAAGAAAAACCUUGAGAAAGAAAUGGAAAAUCUUGAAGACAGGCUUGGAAUGACAUCAAAACUGCAAUGGAAAAUCUGCUUUAAAAAAACCCCAAGAAUGAAACACAAGCAAGCUGACCUUGGAAGGGAGAAACCCAAGAGGAGUAUAUACAAUAU
Molecule: long non-coding RNA, 318 nt
Organism: Apus apus (common swift)
Lineage: Eukaryota; Metazoa; Chordata; Aves; Apodiformes; Apodidae
Exons: 3
Source: RefSeq, a predicted model, not a curated record